RNAcentral lists this ribosomal RNA (478 nucleotides) under uncultured bacterium. Its description in RNAcentral is "partial 16S ribosomal RNA". It matches the Rfam family "Bacterial small subunit ribosomal RNA", at positions 28 to 523 of the family's 1533-position model. The record is from RNAcentral.
GACGAACGCUGGCGGCGUGCUUAACACAUGCAAGUCGAACGGUAAGGCCCUUCGGGGUACACGAGUGGCGAACGGGUGAGUAACACGUGGGUGAUCUGCCCUGCACUUCGGGAUUAGCCUGGGAAACUGGGUCUAAUACCGGAUAGGACCACUGCCUGCAUGGGUGGUGGUGGAAAGCUUUUGCGGUGUGGGAUGGGCCCGCGGCCUAUCAGCUUGUUGGUGGGGUGAUGGCCUACCAAGGCGACGACGGGUAGCCGGCCUGGGAGGGUGGCCGGCCAGACUGGGACUGAGAUACGGCCCGGACUCCUACGGGAGGCAGCAGUGGGGAAUAUUGCCCAAUGGGCGCAAGCCUGAUGCAGCGACGCCGCGUGAGGGAUGACGGCCUUCGGGUUGUAAACCUCUUUCAGCACCGACGAAGCGCAAGUGACGGUAGGUGCAGAAGAAGGACCGACCAACUACGUGCUAGCCGCCGCCGUAA